GACGAGCGCUGGCGGCGUGCUUAACACAUGCAAGUCGAACGGAAAGGCCCUGCUUUUGUGGGGUGCUCGAGUGGCGAACGGGUGAGUAACACGUGAGUAACCUGCCCUUGACUUUGGGAUAACUUCAGGAAACUGGGGCUAAUACCGGAUAGGAGCUCCUGCUGCAUGGUGGGGGUUGGAAAGUUUCGGCGGUUGGGGAUGGACUCGCGGCUUAUCAGCUUGUUGGUGGGGUAGUGGCUUACCAAGGCUUUGACGGGUAGCCGGCCUGAGAGGGUGACCGGCCACAUUGGGACUGAGAUACGGCCCAGACUCCUACGGGAGGCAGCAGCGGGGAAUAUUGCACAAUGGGCGGAAGCCUGAUGCAGCAACGCCGCGUGCGGGAUGACGGCCUUCGGGUUGUAAACCGCUUUCGCCUGUGACGAAGCGUGAGUGACGGUAAUGGGUAAAGAAGCACCGGCUAACUACGUG
RNAcentral lists this ribosomal RNA (468 nucleotides) under uncultured bacterium. Its description in RNAcentral is "partial 16S ribosomal RNA". It matches the Rfam family "Bacterial small subunit ribosomal RNA", at positions 28 to 507 of the family's 1533-position model. The record is from RNAcentral.